AUGAACGCUAGCUACAGGCUUAACACAUGCAAGUCGAGGGGAAACGGCAUUGAGUGCUUGCACUCUUUGGACGUCGACCGGCGCACGGGUGAGUAACGCGUAUCCAACCUUCCCAUUACUGUGGGAUAACCUGCCGAAAGGCAGACUAAUACCGCAUAGUCUUCGAUGACGGCAUCAGAUUUGAAGUAAAGAUUUAUCGGUAAUGGAUGGGGAUGCGUCUGAUUAGCUUGUUGGCGGGGUAACGGCCCACCAAGGCUACGAUCAGUAGGGGUUCUGAGAGGAAGGUCCCCCACAUUGGAACUGAGACACGGUCCAAACUCCUACGGGAGGCAGCAGUGAGGAAUAUUGGUCAAUGGACGGAAGUCUGAACCAGCCAAGUAGCGUGCAGGAUGACGGCCCUAUGGGUUGUAAACUGCUUUUGUAUGGGGAUAAAGUUAGGGACGUGUCCCUAUUUGCAGGUACCAUACGAAUAAGGACCGGCUAAUUCCGUG
RNAcentral lists this ribosomal RNA (491 nucleotides) under uncultured bacterium. RNAcentral describes it as "partial 16S ribosomal RNA". It matches the Rfam family "Bacterial small subunit ribosomal RNA", at positions 29 to 507 of the family's 1533-position model. The record is from RNAcentral.